Molecule: long non-coding RNA, 2326 nt
Filed under: Macaca mulatta (Rhesus monkey)
Lineage: Eukaryota; Metazoa; Chordata; Mammalia; Primates; Cercopithecidae
Description: lncRNA (ENSMMUG00000039365.2)
Source: RNAcentral
UGAGGCUUAUUGGAUGUUAAAUUAUAGGAGCCUCUAUCCCAUUGACUGAAUUUUUUUUUUGUGGGGGGAGUAAUCUUCUCACCCACAUGAAAGUAAGGAAUUCUUCCAUAAGCAUUUAAGUACUACCAUUAAGGGAACUCAAAGAGGUCAUUUACAAAAUAGCUCAUUUACCCUUCCCACCAAGAAUUUGUUGCUUUCAUUGAAGGGAGUGGUUUUUUGAGAAUUGGCUGGCCCGGCAUUAAGCUUAAAUCAUUUGCUUUCCAUCUUACUCCUCCUUUCCCUUGACCUUAUCUGGGAUUUUACUUUAUUAAUUAACUUGAAAAGUGCUUUCUAUAGGUAGCAUGAGUUUUUGGUUAAAAAACAGUUCGAAAAACACCCCCCAAAAUGUAGUGAGAAGAAAAUCAUUUGAAUUCCUAUCCCCCCCAGGCUUCUAGUUCUCUUUUCUAAAGACAGACUCUCAAACAAGCUUUUUCUGUUUUCCUAAGCUAUGUCUAAUUAAGUAUGUGUUACUAUAUAGCUGCCUCUUUUUAUACACACGGCACCAUAUUAUUCUGUGUCGUACCAUUUCUUUUCCACUUAAUAUUUCUUAAAGAUGAUUGCCUAUCUGUGUAGAGAUUUACUUCAUUCCAUUUACAUUUUACAAUAUUGAUAAAAUGUAUUCUAUUUUAUCUCUUUCUAGUGCCUGACGUGUGGCCAGAUCCCAGAAGAUGAGUUUCUCUAAGAAGAUCACAUGAACCAUCCCGAAAGGCCUGUUGCUUCGAAGCUCAGGAAUCCAGGGACCCCUUCCUAUUAUGCGAACUUCCUGGGACCAUCUGAGAAUGUCUGUGGUAGAGACUUUGGUGAAUUUCAUCUGUCCUGUGGCCAAAGGAAUGAAAGGAAGAGCAACUUAGUUUGUUAAUAUGGAAGAAUUCAGCAACAAAAAACCCAUGACACAUGUCUGGAAGAGGCUUCAUUGAGGGAUUUUUUUAUUUUUCAAACAAAGCAUUCUAAAAUGUUUUACUACUGCUUAUUAAAGGGCACUCUAUGCACAUAGCCUUAUACUAAUUAGCCUUAUACUAAUUUCAGAGCUGUAGUGAUAUAUUUUUAAUCCAACAAAACUUUCUGGUUGGUAUUUCUAUUUCACAAAGACUGGGCUAUCUCCUGGUUGAAAAACAAGCCAAAACAAAAUAAAGCAUUUUUUUUUUUCUAAAAUAAGUUAAUGUGAUUUUAAACAAUCAUAAAGUUUUUAUUUUUAAAAUAUUUUUGUAAAGCAAAAAUGAGUUCAAUCUCUUUCCUUUACUUGCCUUUGCCUCAAACUUUUUUUUUCUUGCCUUUAUUUCAUUUUAUUCGACUUCUACUUCUUAUAUUGAAUGUCUUGGUCAAAUUUUUAAACUUGAAUUUACCAAUACUGCUUCUCAUCUGACUCAUUUAUUUCCUGAUGACAAAUUUUUUGCUCAAGUUUUUUUUUUUUUUUUUUUAGAUUUGCCAUUGUUGUUGAUACUUGCUUCUCUUGUACUCUUGUUCUUUCAGUAAACAUUUUAUUGAAGUUAUUUACAGAUUUUCUCAGGCAUGUAAAAUCUAUUAACCAACUACAUAUCUGUUUCAUCUUUAUGAUUUCAAUGCCUUUUAAAUUCAACUUUUUUUUGAGGAAUUUCUAUUCUCUCUGAAAAUUUUGAAUUCCAAAGAGAAUGGAUAAUCAAUCAUUAAAUAAGUAACUCAUUAUCUUAGUUGUCUUAAAGAAACUUAUUUAGAUUGCAGAUCUUUAAAUUGACUUGACGUGUUAUGUUGUCAUUGCUUGUAAAAUCUACCUUUAGUGGAAGCAAACAAAAAUUACUUUAAAAACAUAUAUAGAGAGGUUAGAUUUUAUACCUAGUGCAGAAAUCUCUUGAUUCAAAACAUUUGUCAAAAAUACCGUAAGUUGAAAUUGAGUUAUCUUCUGCAGAAGCCAAUUCUCCAGCAGUGUCGGUAGUAGAACUGGGGCUCUUUACUAUUCUAGUCUGUUGCUCUGAUAAGCAACAUCAGUGUGUACAGGUGAGAUUUUCAUCCAGUUAACAUUCAUUCAGAGAAUUAUAUCUUCUAAAGCUUUCUAACUCAACAAGAGCAGAGUACAUAAGCAUCCUACACAGUGCUCAACUACAAAAUAUUUGAUGAAUAAAUGGCAGGAGCUAAAUAUAACUAGAAAAAGCUGUAGAACAAAAAAGAGACAAAAUCGUAAAAGGACUAGAUCUGGAAAAAAACAUUCAUGAAGAUCGUGGAUUUUAAAGUUUAGACUCCUGAUUCAUCUCUACUUAUGCAUAAUCUGUUUUGGAACCCAUUGUAUAUGCCACUAUUUCCAGUAACUGAUCCA